This 550-nucleotide ribosomal RNA is filed under the name uncultured bacterium. Its description in RNAcentral is "bacterial SSU rRNA". It matches the Rfam family "Bacterial small subunit ribosomal RNA", at positions 355 to 896 of the family's 1533-position model. The record is from RNAcentral.
UAGGGAAUCUUCGGCAAUGGGGGCAACCCUGACCGAGCAACGCCGCGUGAGUGAAGAAGGUUUUCGGAUCGUAAAGCUCUGUUGUAAGUCAAGAACGAGUGUGAGAGUGGAAAGUUCACACUGUGACGGUAGCUUACCAGAAAGGGACGGCUAACUACGUGCCAGCAGCCGCGGUAAUACGUAGGUCCCGAGCGUUGUCCGGAUUUAUUGGGCGUAAAGCGAGCGCAGGCGGUUUGAUAAGUCUGAAGUUAAAGGCUGUGGCUCAACCAUAGUUCGCUUUGGAAACUGUCAAACUUGAGUGCAGAAGGGGAGAGUGGAAUUCCAUGUGUAGCGGUGAAAUGCGUAGAUAUAUGGAGGAACACCGGUGGCGAAAGCGGCUCUCUGGUCUGUAACUGACGCUGAGGCUCGAAAGCGUGGGGAGCGAACAGGAUUAGAUACCCCGGUAGUCCACGCCGUAAACGAUGAGUGCUAGGUGUUGGAUCCUUUCCGGGAUUCAGUGCCGCAGCUAACGCAUUAAGCACUCCGCCUGGGGAGUACGACCGCAAGGUUG